This 35-nucleotide transfer RNA is filed under the name Cuscuta reflexa (southern Asian dodder). RNAcentral describes it as "partial tRNA-Leu". RNAcentral also lists the same sequence under 14 other names. The record is from RNAcentral. Lineage: Eukaryota; Viridiplantae; Streptophyta; Magnoliopsida; Solanales; Convolvulaceae.
UAAAAAUCGUGAGGGUUCAAGUCCCUCUAUCCCCA